UUAAAUUGAAUCUUUUAAUUUGGGGAGGGACAUUAAAACAAUUUUUCAUUGAGCCAAGCGCACCUUUUGCAACGCCCUGAUGAUGAUGAUGGGGACAAGAAAAUUAUGUUGAAAAAGUAUUUCUUUUUAAGGCCAUAAUUUGGCAAUCAAGGAGAUUCGGUGAAUGUAAUUAAUAAUGUUUCCAAUUUUUAAUAAUUGGAUUAUCUGUAUUUUAUGUUACAUUACCGCUGUUGAUGAAAG
Molecule: long non-coding RNA, 240 nt
Filed under: Gossypium barbadense (sea-island cotton)
Lineage: Eukaryota; Viridiplantae; Streptophyta; Magnoliopsida; Malvales; Malvaceae
Description: long non-coding RNA (GBAR_LNC017625)
Source: RNAcentral